UUGUGGUUUUAAUGAAGGUUCAGUUUAAAAUGUGAUAGUCAAAAGAACCAAUUUAGCUGCUUCCUUUGACGAAUGACAGCAGUCUAAUCAUUGCUUGCUUAAUUGGCUCUGCAAUUUCCUAAUUAGCAUAGGAUUGGUCAGAGCCUGAUGUGAUAGCUUACCCUCUGGCUCUUAAAUUCUAGCUUUUUCUUUAUUAAUCAAAAGGAAAAUAAUCAUGCAUGUUAAAAUCAUUAAAGAAGAAUUCUUUUAUCAAACUUUAGGCUUCUGAAGUUAGGAGACAUCUUCUCUUGUAAAUUAUGUUCUAGACUUGUUAAUUUUUAAGUGAGUGAACUAAUCUUUGGUGGAAAAUAGGUAAGGGAUUAAUAAAUAGAAGUUGGUAAAUAUUAAAGGAAUAUGGUUCAGAAUGGAGUUAGGUACCAAGUAAUCCUACUGAAUUAACCUAAAACAUAAAGCCAUCUUUGAUUUUCCCAAGGAAAAGAUCCAGAAGGAAGUUUUUUCACUAACUUUACCAUAUUAACAUCUAAUUGUGUGUAUAUAAUUGUAAAUACUAUUUAAAAGGUAAACUGAAACACAUUACGAUUUUUAAAAAUGUAUUGCAGCUAAUGAUGCUUCAUGAACUGGGCAGUUCCGAACCAGAAGUCAUCUGAGAACUCCACCAAGGAAAUGCAACAGGGAAACUUUUACAAUACUAUCAUUGAGGUGUAUGCUACAUUCACUCACACUCUACUGGACAAAUCAAAUGACAUGGCUAAGCCCAACAUCAACAUCAAUGGGACAGAGAGUUUAUUUCCUGUCUAUGAGAAAGCAUGGCAAAGCAUUACAGGUGUGGCCUAGAAGACUCUCCCAUGUAUGGCACUUCCCAGGGCAACUUUGGAAACAGAAUGCUGAAGAAACAAUGCAUCCCUAAGCAUUUCUCUAAAUAAUGGUAUGGACACAUGACACCCCCAUCGCAUAUCAAGUGCCAUCCCUCAACUGACCUGGCAUUGUAUUGUUAUGUUAUAAAUGUCUAUUGUUUGAACUACCAUACUUUUGGGGGUUUGUUUUGCAAAUGAUUUCUUACAUUAAAUAAUAUUAUGU
Molecule: non-coding RNA, 1077 nt
Organism: Chlorocebus sabaeus (green monkey)
Lineage: Eukaryota; Metazoa; Chordata; Mammalia; Primates; Cercopithecidae
Source: RefSeq, a predicted model, not a curated record